RNAcentral lists this ribosomal RNA (497 nucleotides) under uncultured bacterium. Its description in RNAcentral is "partial 16S ribosomal RNA". It matches the Rfam family "Bacterial small subunit ribosomal RNA", at positions 28 to 507 of the family's 1533-position model. The record is from RNAcentral.
GAUGAACGCUGGCGGCGUGCCUAAUACAUGCAAGUCGAGCGAACGGACGAGAAGCUUGCUUCUCUGAUGUUAGCGGCGGACGGGCGAGUAACACGUGGAUAACCUACCUAUAAGACUGGGAUAACUUCGGGAAACCGGAGCUAAUACCGGAUAAUAUUUUGAACCGCAUGGUUCAAAAGUGAAAGACGGUCUUGCUGUCACUUAUAGAUGGAUCCGCGCUGCAUUAGCUAGUUGGUAAGGUAACGGCUUACCAAGGCAACGAUGCAUAGCCGACCUGAGAGGGCGAUCGGCCACACUGGAACUGAGACACGGUCCAGACUCCUACGGGAGGCAGCAGUAGGGAAUCUUCCGCAAUGGGCGAAAGCCUGACGGAGCAACGCCGCGUGAGUGAUGAAGGUCUUCGGAUCGUAAAACUCUGUUAUUAGGGAAGAACAUAUGUGUAAGUAACUGUGCACAUCUUGACGGUACCUAAUCAGAAAGCCACGGCUAACUACGUG